Molecule: long non-coding RNA, 36874 nt
Filed under: Lactuca sativa (garden lettuce)
Lineage: Eukaryota; Viridiplantae; Streptophyta; Magnoliopsida; Asterales; Asteraceae
Description: long non-coding RNA (LSAT_LNC001491)
Source: RNAcentral
AAAGCCACCCCUUUUUGCCUUGUAACCCCUCUAAGGACCUACAUCCGAAACAUCAACUCCAAACCAUGCUUGCAAUUAUGGUUGGUGACCAAAAUGGCUUAUAAAAGCCCAAAAACUCCACAAAAUGGGAUCUAACAAAUGAACUAACAAGGUAUAGACUUUACACCUUCUGAAGACUGCAAUUGAUACCCAAAAUCGGAUCCUUCUAGCCUCCUCUUGAUCCUUCAAGCUUUUCCUUCCUUCCUUGGUUCACAAAACACCAAAAUCACUCCAAAUGCCUUAGAUUGCUUCAAUAACGACUAGGGUUUGCUAUAGGGGUCUUCUGGGAGCAAAUGGGACGAAGGAGGCCGAGUUAAGGUGUUUAAAUAGGGUGCAAACCCUCGGAUUAGGGUUUUUGUCCAAACAGGGCCUACUCGUCGAGUCCGGGACCCAACUCGUCGAAUCCACAGCUUAAACCCCGUGUUUCAUCCCGCUUCUACUCGACAAGUUUUUCCUUCAACUCGCCGAGUCCAAGGCCAAAAAUGCAAAAAUAAUAAAAGAAUACGUACCAAGAACCACAUGCUACAAAUCUCCCCCACUUAUUUUAGACUUCGUCCUCGAAGUCUGCUGUUCGAUCUUGAAAUAGCUCAGGGUAAUGCUCCAUUAUCUUGUCCACCAGCUCCUAAGUCCACUCCGACCCCUUCUGGUGUUGCCAUUGCACCUUCACGAGUUCCACUCUUUUGUUCCUUAAAUCCUUCGGCUUCCGGUCGAGGAUUGCCACUAGUCUCUCAAUGUACUUUAGGCUAUCAUCAACCUGAAUGUCCUCCAAGCGUACCACUGCUGAGGCGUCCACCAGGCACUUUUGUAGCUGAGAAACAUGGAAAGUGUUGUGUAUCUGACUGAGUUCGACUGGCAAAUCUAGCCCAUACGCCACCUUGCCCACCUGGGCUAUAACCCUGAACGGUCCGAUGUACCUGGGGCCCAACUUGCCCCAUUUCCUAAAUCGGAUAACGCCUUUCCAUGGCGACACCUUCAGGAGCACCAUAUCCCCGACCUGGAACUCCAAGUCUGAUCAGAGCUUAUCGGCAUAGCUUUUCUACCGACUCUAAGCAGUCUGAAGCCUGCUCUGGACCUGCUGAAUCUUCUCUGUCGUCUUGAGCACUACCUCAGUGCUCCCCAUUACCCUCUGUCCAACCUCGCCCCAACAUAUCGGGGUCCUACACUUCCUCCCAUAUAGCAUUUAGAAAGGAGGAUGAUCAAUGCUCGCAUGAUAACUAUUGUUAUAGGAGAACUUUGCCAAUGGAAGGAAGGUAUCCCAACUACCUCCAAAGUCUAAUACGCAUGCCCACAGCAUAUCCUGCAGGGUCUGGAUGGUCCGCUUGCUCUGACCAUCCGUCUGCGGGUGAAAGGCGAUGCUAAAAUGCAGACGAGUACCCAACUCGUCAUGAAACUUCCUCCAAAACCUGGAACUGAACCGCACAUCCCUGUCUGAAAUCACAGAAACUGGCACACCGUGCCGCGCCACCACCUCCCAGAUAUAGAUGUCGGCCAACUUCUCGGCCGAGAUGCUCUCCUGAAUCGGGAUAAAAUGGGCGCCCUUGGUCAAUCGAUCGAUGAUGACCCAAAUCGAAUCCACUCCCCGCGCGGUCCUGGGAAGCUCGGUGGUAAAAUCCAUCGUGAUGUCUUCCCGUUUCCACAGCGGAAUAUCCAACGGCUGCAUCUUGCCGUGAGGUCUCUGAUGCUCAGCCUUGGCCUUUCUACAGGUCCAGCACAGCUCCACGAACCAUGCCACAUCCCGCUUCAUGCAGGGCCACAAAUAGUCCAGACGAAGAUCCUUAUACACUUCGUCGCCCCAGGAUGAAUGGAAAACCGAGAUUUGUGCGCCUCCUCCAUCAGAACCUGGCGCACACCCCCGUGGUAUGACACCCACACCCUAUGGUGUAGUGUCAGUAAUCCUCGGCUGUCAUAGUCAAAGCAGGAAACCUGCCCCACGAUCCGCUUGCUCAUCUGAUGUUCCUCCUUUAUGGCCUCCUACUGGGCCUCCCGAAUCCGCUCCAACAGCGGAGUCACCACCGUCAUCCUCAGGCAGAUAUCCGAAAUCGGCACUGCCUUGCGGCUAAGCGUGUCGGCCACCACGUUGGCCUUACCCAGGUGAUAAAGGAUCUCGCAAUCGUAAUCCUUUACCACGUCUAUCCACCGACACUGCCUCAUGUUUAUAUUCGGCUGAUCCAUGAGGUACCUCAAACUCUUAUGGUCCAUGUAGAUGGUACAGCGAACCCCAUGGAGGUAAUGAUGCCAAAUCUUGAGGGCGAAUACAAUAGCCCCCAACUCCAAAUCAUGCGUUGGGUAGUUCACCUCGUGAGGCUUUAGCUGCCUUGACGCGUAGGCGAUGACAUGCCCUCUCUGCAUCAAUACUGCGCCCAAACCUGAGAUGGACGCAUCACAGUACACAACAAAAUCCUACAUGCCCUCUAGCAGGCCUAAGAUUGGCGACUCGCACAAUCUAUGUCUCAGUGUCUCGAACGCAGCCUGCUGCUCAGGACCCCAACAAAAGACCACGACCUUCCUUGUUAGCCUGGUCAGGGGCAUGACUAUCUUGGAGAAAUCUUGGAUGAAUCUCCGAUAGUAGCCGACUAAUCCUAGGAAACUCCGAAUCUCGGAUGGAGACUUCGGAACCUCCCAUCUCAUCACGGCCUCCACCUUGGCCGGGUCCACUGAGAUCCCAUUCUGGUUGACGAGAUGCCCAAGGAACUGCACCUCGUACAACCAGAACUCAAACUUGGAGAACUUAGCAUACAAGUUCUCCAUCCUCAAAGUCUCCAGAACCUCUCGCAGAUGCUCCUCGUCCUCCUCCUGCAUCUUGGAGUAAACCAAUAUAUCAUCAAAAAACACUAUCAUAGACCGGUCUAACAUCGGUCUACAAACGCGGUUCAUGAGGUCCAUGAACGCGGCAGGAGCAUUGGUGAGUCCGAAGGGCAUCACCACAAACUCGUAGUGGCUAAUGCGUGUCCGAAACGCAGUCUUCUGCACAUCCUCCUCUCUGACCCUCAUCUGAUGAUAUCCUGAACGCAGAUCAAUCUUGGUGAACCAAGAUGCUCCCUGUAGCUGGUCAAAGUGAUCAUCAAUCCUCGGGAGUGGGUAACAGUUCUUCAUUGUUACCUUGUUUAGCUCCCGGUAAUCUAUACACAUCCGAUACGACCCGUCCUUCUUCCUCACAAACAGAAUCGGGUCUCCCCACGGAGAGCUACUCGGUCUAAUGAAUCCCUUGUCUAACAGCUCCUGCAGCUAUGUAGACAACUCCUGCAUCUCGGGAGGAGCCAACUGAUAUGCUGCCUUUCCUAUCGGAGCCGCACAAGGGACUAGGUCGAUCCUGAACUCCACCUGCCUCCCUGGAGGUAUCCUUGGAAACUCCUCGGGGAAUACAUCCAUAAACUCUCGCACUACGGGCACAUUGCCCAUUGUCGCCUUACCCGCCUCCCGGGUACCCAUAAUAUAAGUGACAUAUCCUGCGCAACCCUUCUGAAGGUAACGCCUAGCUCUCGCUGCUGAACAUACUGCUGGUCCUUGUUGUGGCCUCUCGCCCAGAACUACCAACUCUCCCCCACUUGGAGUCCUGAUCUGAACCAGCUGUUGUGCGCAAUCUAUCACUGCUCCAUUGGGGCUCAACCAAUCCAUGCCUAUAAUCACCUUGUUCCCUCUCAACAAAAUAAGAACCAAGUCCACCAGAUAACGCUCCUCGAAUAAUCUCAGCACACAGUCUCGGAAUACUGUCGAUGCUCGCACCUAUCGGUCAUCUGCAAUCUCUACCUCUAAAGGGAAAUCCAGCAUGCCCGAAGACUCAGGAAACUUCUUGCUAAGUGCAAGAGAGACAAAUGAUCGGGUAGCCCCCGAAUCAAAUAGUACCUGAACUGGGAUACCGUUUACAUGGAACGAGCCUAAACAAAGCACAUACAUAACAUAUCAAAAUUACAGCAGCACAUCAUAAAGCAUGAAGAUAUGAAAUCAUACCUGUCACAACAUCGGGUGCAGCGCGUGCCUCCUCAGUAGUAAGCUACAAUGCCCGGCUCCUCACUACUGGAGCCUCUGCCUUGCCCUGCUGGCCAUCAGUGAUCCGCAGGGUUGUUGGUGCUGGCGCCUUCACUGGCGCUGAUUUUGCUAUUAACUGGGGGCAGUUGGCCUUCUUGUGGCCCUUCUAGUUGCAGUGGAAACAUAGCCACUCAGACGUCUGAAUAAACGGUGCAGGAGCAGUACAAUCCCUGCUGAAAUUCCCCGUCUUGCGGCACUUGUAGCAGUCUGACGAUCCCAAUCUACAUGCCUCCUCGUGUGGCCUGCCGCAUUUCCUGCAGCGGCCCGGUCCUGAUGAGCCUUUCGGCCUACCGUCUGAUCCCUUGGGCUUCUUCCCCGAAGCCCCAGUCGUCUGACCCUCCUCUAUCUUUCUUUUCCUGACAUGCUCCAGAUCAAUCUCCCUCUCCCUUGCCCUAGCAAUCAUGGAAUCCAGGGUAGGGCAUGCUGAAAAACUAACAUGCUCCUGAAUGUCAGCCCAUAGCAUGUCGUGGUAGCGGGUACUCAUCAUAUCCUCAUCUCCCACAUACUGGGGAACCAGCAAUGCCUUCUCCCAGAACUUGGCGGUGAUCUCCGCGACAGUCUCUAUAGUCUGUCUCAUAUCGAAAAACUCCUUGGCCAGAUGUUGAAGCUCUACAGCUGGCACAAACUCUGCUCGAAAUCGGGUCACAAAAUCUGACCAUGUCAUAGCCUCAACAGUCGAGGCUCCCAGAGAGUCACCAACCGACUCCCACCAAUCCCUGGCGCGGUCCCUCAAACAUCCUGCAGCAAAUCAUACCUUCGACCCCUCGGGGCAGAAGCUGGUCAGCUGCGCGGACUCAAUAUCCACAAUCCAUCGUCUGGCAGCAAUGGGGUCCUUCUCCCCAUGGAAAUCUGGUGCACCGUUUCCCCUGAAGUCCUUAAAGGACAGUGUGCGGGAUCCUGACUAGCCAGAUGCCACAUCACUCCUGAACGCCCUGAGGCGAUCCUCCAUCAACUCGACUAUCCCUUCCUUGAUCGACCCGAAGAUGAUGGGUGUCGACUCAAGGAUGCAUCUGGUGAUCUCUGACGCGAUGAACUCGCGUAGCCUCUCAUCUACUGGCUCGGAACCUGAUCCGGAACCCGAUCCCUCUCAUGAACUUCCAAGUACUAGCCUCUGAUGUAGUACCACCAUACUGCAAAACAGAAUACCAACCGUUACUGAUACCGAUACAUCUCGAGGGAUCACAUCCACCACAAGUUCCCUGGUCUUGUCUCAUCCUUCCUCAAUUUAGGAACGAAUCCUCUGCUUUCAGUAGUACGGCCCUAUACUACCUUCCACAUCCACUGUACAUUCUUCAAGGACUUCCUUGACUCCACCAAGUCCCCUUUACCACUGCUGAUCCUCUUCUAUUCCAAUUCUAGGCUUACCCUAGGGAAAAUCUCUAAUUCCACCCCAAACUGGUCCUCAGCUGCUGAAGGCCUCCUUGUAAUUCCAAUUAGCCUUUACCUGAAUACCAUCGCAUGUGAAGAGGCUCAGAUAAUCCUUCGAGUAAUAGACUCGUCCCUACAACGGUUAGACUCAGACAAGAGCUACAGCAAUAGGGCCAAAUCCACCACUCUGAGAUUAUUCAACCCUGAUCACAUGUGACGUGACGUAUUCAGCUAAUGGCUAACUCCCAUCACUCAGAGUCCCACAAAGCACAAAGCAAGCGGCAUUCAGAUGCAGGAAAACUACUCAAGCCAAUAUGUCCUCAUAAUUAGAAGUUGAACUAGCAUAUAACGCUGAGCUCAUACUAUCAGGCAUAACCUAAACAGGCUAUCCUACUACUGCCUACUCAAUACUAGCAUGCAAUUCUUAUAAGCUGAAGCACAUAAAGCAGGCACAUAAGGCAUCAUUCCUAGAUCCUUAGUCCUAUUCUAGCAUGAUGUUCUACUGAAACUGAUAAACAUAAGAUAACUGGUAUGGGUACUAUGGGGAACACUUACUUGAGCUCGGCCAGUUGCGCACAUUACACACUUGUUCCUUCUCAAAACUCUUUUAUCUUAGCUUUUAGGAAGUCAUUUUCCUUGUAAAAAUCUUUUAAUCCCUUGGUUUGAGUCCAGACACCCCCGAAGGUGUGUCCGAAUCCCUCAAACCAGGGCUCUGAUACCAACUUGUAACGACCCAAUUUUCACGUCCAAAAAUUUCAUUUUAGAUUAAGUGAGUUGCAAAACAUUUGUAACAGAAUAUCAUCCGAUCAUAUCGAUUAAUAAAAACAUGUCUCGUUUCUGGAAACCGAAUCGUAAAACAUAAUAAUGUCAGAGUACAAAUCCCAGAAUAACUCAUAGUGCGGAAAAUAAAGAGUGUAUGUAUGAUGUGCCACUAACGCGCCAGCUCCUUCCCAUUCGCUGAAGAGGUACCUGAAACCAAAACUGUAAACUGUAAGCACGAAGCUUAGUGAGUCUCCCCAUCGUACCACAACCCAUAUAAUCACAAAGCAUACAUACUACCAGUCAAUUCUAGGGUGCCCGACCUACCCGGUACGGCCAUUCUAGGGUGCUGUCCUACCCAUGCGGCCUUUUUGGGGUGCCAUCCUGCCCAUGUCAUGCCAUUCUGCAGUGCUGACCUACUCGUCGGUCCUAACAACCGACCCACGGGGACUAUUCCACCCCUUGCUGCUACUAUCACAUAUUUCAUAACGUAAACAUACUAUCAGACAUAUAUGGGGUGUCCGAGUUACCCUUCGGUCCUAACAACCGAACUUGGGGACUAUUCCACUCCUACUACCGCUAUCAUAUAUAACAUAUCAUGCCAGCAUCUAAACAUAUCAGCACAUAUUAUCAAACAUAUCUGGGGUGUCUAACCUACCCUUCGGUCCUAACAACCGAACUCUACUACUAUGACAUAUAACAUAUCAUGCUAGCAUAUAACAUAUUAGGUAGCAGCAAACCUGGAUAAUAUCACAAAGAAAAUCAUAUAACAUACAACUCGUACUGGUGGGCCGGCAUUAUGGCCAUAGAACCACCACUACUGGAAGGUAACUCACCUCGUAGUAGCUGCUGAUCUGUACGGGAAUCCUCUGACUGCUGCCAUUGCUGCUCCGGAACUCCUCCGGCUAUAAUUCCCACAAAACACUUAGCCAUACACUACUAACUGCUCUUAGGGUAAAAUAACCAUUUUACCCCUGACCAAAUCAAAGUCAAAGUCAACUUCUAGUGGACUUGACUCGCCAAGUUGGCUCGCCAACUCGUCGAGCCCAUGUCCUUCCAUUUAUCCUUAUACGUGUCUCUACUCGUCGAGUUAGGCGAUGACUCGACGAGUGUUCCUUCUAAAUGAACAUCGCCUGAAUCUUCAUUCGACUCAGCGAGUUGUAUGAACAACUCAUCGAGUUCAUCUUCAACUGAUACACAGGUCUUGUCCUUGACUCGCCAUGUUGUAUGAACAACUCGUCGAGUUCAUCUUCAUCCUUAAGAAGAUUGCCUUGAACUCGCCGAGUCCGCUCAUGCACUCGCCGAGUCCGCUCAUGCACUCGCCGAGUCCCAUGAACUUCCAGAACAAUGGCUUAGUCCAGAACAUUGGGUCACUCUCCAAGACCCCCAAAAGCCUUUCCACACUCAACUGGGUCCUUAUGACCCUCAACUGAUACAGGACAGAAGCCUAGGACUCGCCGAGUCCAAGAAUGGACUCGUCGAGUUGGUCACAUCCACUCACUAGAUCCUCGAUUUCUGAUGUACAACCCUUGAUCAAAAGAUAGAUCUAUGCUUCUAUAAUUGAUCUAGCACGUAAAGUUACAACCUUUCACUACUAGAAAAAAGGCCUUUUACGACGCUCAUUGCGCGUNCCCUUGAUCAAAAGAUAGAUCUAUGCUUCUAUAAUUGAUCUAGCACGUAAAGUUACAACCUUUCACUACUAGAAAAAAGGCCUUUUACGACGCUCAUUGCGCGUCGUAAAACGCUCAGACGACGCGCAAAUGCGUGUCAAGGAAGGCCCUGUCAUAAAGAGAGACGACGCGCUUUUGCGCGUCGUCUAUAGACGACGCGCAUUUACGACGCGCAUUUACGACGCGCAAUUACGACGCGCGGUUACGACACGCAAUGCGUAUCAAGGAAGGCCCUGUCAUAAAGGAAGACGACACGCAUUCGCGUGUCGUAACCUUACGACGCGCGUGUUAAUGACAUGCAAUGCGUAUCAAGAAAGCCCCUGUCAAGAAAGGCCAUGUCAUAAAUGAAGAUGACAUACAUUUUUGCGUAUCGUAAAUUUAAAUGUUUAAAAAAAAAAAAUUUAUAUAUUUAUUAAUUUUUAAAUUAAAUUUUCAUUUAAUUUCUUAUAAUAGAAAUAAAAUACCAUAUACAAAAAAUACAAUCCAUUGCAUAAUAUAAAAUAAAUUGCACAAAUUAUAAUGUCAUACAAAGAAUCAUUCAAAUGUUAAACAAAAAUAAUACAUUGCUAACAUGUGUUAUACAUUCCUAUAAAACUAACAAAUAAUCAUACAACUCUGUUUCUUACUGGAAAGGAAUGCCAAACAUGAUUACAAGUCUCCCUUAAUCUUGAUUAUAAUCAAAUGUAUCUUUAAUUCUUUAUAUAAAUGAAGCUUAAAUGAUGUCUUUAAAUAAUGAACACAAUAAAUGUUAUAAACCUUUUGAGGCCCCAUAACAUCAGGAUCUGAGUUUUCUAUUUCAACUGCAGGACUACCGUUAGUUUAAGGAUCACUUUUUGGACGCUUUUUCUUCUGCAUACAUUAACAAACAUGUUAACUUUCAAGAAAUAUAUUUAGUUUUUAGGCUCAUAGUGGCAUGCAUAUAGUUGAGGUGAGAGAAAGGUAUACAUACAGCUAGUAAGACAUCCAGACUAUCCAUAACAGGUGGUUUCAAAUUUUCAUAAUCAACUGCAUUGUAAGAUAACAUGAACACAAGAAAGGUAAUCAAAGGUUAAAAUAUUACAUAUUUACAUGUUAAAAGUGUAAAGAAAAGAUGAUGUGGUUACACAGCUUACCAUCAGAAUUUAAGAGGUCGCUACUUAAUGUGUGUCCUACUUGUGCCAUAGAAAUCAACUACAAUCACCACACACACCGAAAAGGGUCAUGUAUACAGAAAUGGUGGAUAGAAGAGAAAGAAGAUAAAGCUAAAAAACUACCUGCAUUGUAGUAAUAAACUCUUUGAAGCCAAGAAAGCCUUGUCGUCUAGAAUCUGCAAUUGCCCAUACCUUAAGAAGUAGUAUGAACAGGCGUAGAGAAAUAGUUAGGACAGAUUGGGAUUAAAAGAGUAGAAAAGCAGAAAGAGAACUAUAAGCUAACUUCUGUGCCCUUAUGAGCACACUUAGCAAUCAAAUUAAUGAUCAAAACUUGAGGAGGUAAAACACUAUCUAAAAAAUAAAUAAUCAUUUAUUUAGAGAGUUAAAUGCAAGAACUAAUGCAGACAGAGCUUCCACUAGAGCUGAAAAGAAAAAAAAACAUAAAAAAAUAUGACAAGAUCUUUAUAAAUGUAGUUGAAUAAACAAAAAUCAGAGGAAUGAUGCACAGAUGAUGAUGAAGCAGAGACAAAUAAGAAAGUAGAUUCAAAGAAGAAAGGAUGGUUUUCAUCCAUGUUCCAAAGGUUAGUUUAUAACUCGUAUUUUUUUCAUUUUUAGCAUUUUUAAUGGUCAUUUAGUCUCGUUUAGAUGGUCUAUUCAGUCUAGAAAGGCAACACUCCUUAUGUUGUAACAGAGUUGGAAAGUCAAUAAAUCUUGCCAAGGUAUAAAAAAAUAUUAAAAAUUGAAUCUUGGCAUACAAAAAACAAAAAAAUAAUAUGUGAAAUGUUGUGUGCAUAAUCUGGUAAAUAUAUAUAUCAUCAAGGAUAUUAAUUAUUAUUUAUUAAAAUCAAAUAAAUCAUUUUAAAAGCAAAAAGUAGGCUACUUACCACAUUUUCUGGAAGAGAUGUUGCCACACCGAUAGCAGUAAUUUGGUGCAGACCAAACCUAUAAGAUGAAGAAAGAAAAUGAAACAUCAAAUUUUUUGAUUUUUGGGAGUGAAAAAAAGGGUAAAACAGGAAACUUACAGUUACAAGUCGUUUAUAUUGAAACAUGUACUUUAAAGAAUUGAAUCUCUAAGGUUUUUGUUUGGUUCAAAAGUAAAGUUGAGGUGGAUUUCUUCCCGAAGCCACUAAUGUUGGCUGCAAAAACAACACUGAGUGUUACGUAUACACUUGAAAGGAAUUGAAAAUAUCUACAGUCAUACACUUAGUUAGUUACCUGAUUAAGGGUGGGAUACUUAUCUACUUUUUGGAUCUUUGUUAUCAGAGAACAAUCUUUGUUAUCAGGUAAGCCUGGUGACACAUAUGAAGAGUCAUGAUCAUAUUUUGCAAUCCAGAAUGUGUAGUAAUCCUUUUCAUUGAGGCUCUUGGAUAGAUUGAAACAUAGUUUAGUGUUGUGUUUUCCUUCAGCCCAUCGCACAUAGACAUUAUGUCAAGCACCUUGUGGGCGUACAUCAGUAACUGACCGAACAGAGACUAAUUCGUGUUCAUGGCUAUACCAUCCAAAGCAACUUUAUGAGUAGACAAAUUAAGUGUGUGAUAUAUCAACCAUUAGUUCCGAUAUUACAUAAGAAAAUGAUAACAAGUGCAAUCACCAUGGCCUUUGCAUCAUUCUUAUACCCCUCCAGAGCUGUUGUAGUAAUUGUCACCACCUAGUCAAAACAAUAGCACACAACAGUGCCACAUCAGCAUUAUCAAAUUGCUAUCAUGAGUAAAAACAAGUACAUUUCUCAUAUCAGUAAAAGAAAAAGAAAAAGGCAAAGUACCUCUCGUUCAAAUGGAGGAUAUCUCCCAAGUCCUGGUGUAGCAUUAGCUGAAGCUGAAACUAUGUCCGCAAGUACACGAUGAACCUGUACUCAUUACAAACGAUUACAUAAAUGAAAUUAAAAGAAUAAUAAUAUUAAUAAGAGAAAAGGGGAAUUAAUUAAAAAUGAAAAAACAAAAUAAUGUGUAGUUUUUUUACCUCGUCAACACAGAGACGUGAGGGCUCUUAAUCUGAUACAUAGCAGAAAUCACAGGGACCAUUUUGUAAUUUAUUCUUAAUCGAUUUUACUGAUCACAGCAAUGGAUCUUGUUGCUAUAUUAAAAAAAUUAUAUUUUAAUAAUUCAUGAAGCCUUGACUGGAUUGCAAUUUGGGGAAACAAAGAUUAGUUGUCCCAGAUUACUUACCUUUCCUUGAACACUACUUGGAACAACUUAUCACCAUGACAAGCUAAAUCAACUAGAAACUUUCCCUAUUUACAUUUUACAACAAUACCUAUCAAUAAAUGAAACAAUUAUACUACAUUUCUUAAAAAAAAGCAUAAAAUUAGAAUAAAAUAAUGAAAUAGAUGAAGAGAAGUUAAAAAAUCACGCAUAUUAUAGAACAUAUCCAUAUCUAAUGCCUGAAGCAUUCUAGUUUAAUCAACUAGGAUAAAUGUCUAGCAAUGUGAUUACAUUGCAAUAAUUUCAUGAAGAUUAUUUAUAUAGCUUUGUUGUUUUGUAUAAGGAAAUACAAUUACCUUCCCAACUAGUAUCUCAUUAGCAUGCUGAACCCCAUAUACAUCAACAGUAUCAAAGAAUGUAACUCCUCUAUUAAAAGCUUCCUUUAGCACUUUGCUGCCUUCUUCCUUAGGGAGAGGAUUGUUAUAGAUACCUGUAAGCCCCAUGCAGCCAUACCCUAGUAUUGAGACUUGUAGAAAAGGAAAAUGAGGUUGAAUGUAUAACGGAUCCAUAUCUAAUUUGCAAUUUAUAAAAAUCUUUUCUAUCCCUAAUCAUACAACUUUUUGUCCCAGAAUUCAACUACCGAAUGCAUCAAACCCCCAAAUUGGAAGUAGAAUAUAAACCUAGAUAGAAUUAAAGAGAUGAUUUAGGGAGAAAGGUUUUAACAGAAAAGGUAAUCGUAUCACAUACUAGUUUUCUAUUAUGUUGCCCCAUGCAGCCACAUGGAUAAUGUUUUUUGCAUGUAUCAGACACAUAGAAAUUCAGAAGCCACAUGGAUAAUGUUUCUUGCCCUUUAGAAUUCAUGCACAUUCUAGUUUUCUAUUAUGUUGCUCCUUCAUUCCAAACAGAAUUACAAUUUUUCUAUAGGAAAAAGAAUCUUUUGAACUACAGAUUUGUCAAUCUGUCUUGAUAAUUUUAUGGUAACAGUUAAGUAACCCUAAAUUUCCAAUUUGUUUGUGUUUUGAACCAAUUUGUCAAAAUUAAGUACUAUUCAGAGAAUACAAGUCAACAUGAGGGGGAGAAUCACCAAAUCAAGGGCAAAAUCGACAUAAACAAGCAAAAAUUCGAACAAUAGAAAAGAGAAUUUAACAAUAUAUAUGAAAAUUUAGUGAAUAAUGCCAAUUUGAGAGAGACGUGGUUUGAAGUUUCAUAAAAUCUCAUGUUUGAAAGCCCUAUGUCGGCUCUUUGGACUGUGGUCUCGAUUACUGUAGGUAGAAUCACAUAUUUGUGGGUGCGAUCGAGCCCACUAAGUUUUAGAUGAUAUUAUCAUACCUUCAACACAAGGAAGACGAUGUUAUUGAGAGGGAGUCUUGUUGUGCGAGACAGAUCACAAAGAAGAUCUGAUGGUCAUUAAACCAGACCUAGGGCUUGUAAAUUUGAGCAUAUGUGGCGGUCUCUGUCGAGGUAAGGUUAUCCCAAGCUCUCCGGCUAAAAGAGAUGAGUCGAGAUCGUUGGUAGAUGAGGUGAGCCAAGGUAGCGAGCGUUGUAGAGAGCCUUCCCAUCUUGAAAAGAACCCUAGAAUGAUCCCUUCGAUUUCAGGGGCAAUCUUGUGAGGAUUUCAAGAAGGAGAGACUCAGUGAGGUUUUGAAUAUCGUAUGAGAACGUAUGAGCAAGGAGAAGAUGAAGGCCCUAGGGAUUUUUCUUGAGGUGGGGGGAUUAAUUUUUGGAAUCCAAUAGGCGGGAGUAAUUUUAGUCGAUUUCAUUUCCCGCCUAAAACGCGUGUUUCACUUAAAAAUUAUAAAGCGACACAUUUACACGAUGCACAUUUUAUGAAAGGCGCCCUCCGCAUUUUUUUUUUUUUCUUUUCUGACACUAAUUUUAGGGCGCGCACAAAUGCGUGUCCUUUAUCCUUCAAAUUUUGCAAAACUGACAUUAUCUUUUAGGGCACGCACAAAUGCGCAUCCUCUAUCAGCGAGUGUCAUUGUUUGCGCGUCAUUAAAGGCUGUUUUUCUAGUAGUGUUUAUGUGUUUGCAUGGGACUUUGAGCUCAAAAGGUCCUUAAACAAGCUCUUUCAAAGCAUGGGGCCUUCUUUGAGUGCAAGAGCCACUCCUUUCUGCCUUGUAACCCCUCUAAGGACCUAAAUCCGAAACAUCAACUCCAAACCAUGCUUGCAAUCAUGGUUGGUGACCAAAAUGGCUUAGAAAAGCCCUACAACUCCACAAAAUGGGAUCUAACAACUGAACUAACAAGGUAUACACUUUAUACCUUUUGAAGACUGCAAAUGAUGCCCAAAAUUGGAUCCUUCUAGCCUCCUCUUGAUCCUUCAAGCUUUUCUUCCUUCCUUGGUUCACAAAACACCAAAAUCACUCCAAAUGCCUUAGAUUGCUUCAAUAACGGCUAGGGUUUGCUAUGGGGGGCUUCUGGGGGCAAAAGGGACUAAGGAGACCGAGUUAAGGUGUUUAAAUAGGGUGCAAACCCUCGGAUUAGGGUUUUUGUCCAAACAGGGCCUACUCGCCGAGUCCGGGACCCGACUCGUCGAGUCCACAGCUUAAACCCCGUGUCUCAUCCCGCUUCUACUUGGCAAGUUGGUCCUUCAACUUGCCGAGUCCAAGGCCAAAAAUGAAAAAAUAAUAAAGGAAUACGUACCAAGAACCAGAUGCUACAGAAUGGCUACGAUAAUUUUUGGAAGAUAUACCAUGAUGGCCUAAACCAGUUUCGACAAUCUCAAUCCAUUAUGAUAGUCAAUGGGCAUUUGGACGGGCGCAAAGUGCUAUGUAUAAUGGUAAGUCUCGACACAUCCUUCGAAGACACAACACCAUUCGACAACUACUCUCAGCUAGAGUUAUCUCAAUUGACUAUAUAAGGUCCAAGAAUAACGUUGCGGAUCCGCUAACCAAAGGGUUAAACAGGGAGUUAGUUGCAAAAUCGUCAAAAGGAAUGGGAUUAAAACCCUUGAACGGAUAAGUUAUUGCGAAGGAAAACCCAACCUAGUUGACUAGAGAUCCCAAGAUCUAGGUUUUAUGGGACAACCUACUUACAUAUAACAUAUGUGGAUCAAUGUGGGGGUCAAUCCCAACCUAUUCCUAUAAAUAACAGUGAUGCAGGUUAAGCUUAUAGUAGUUGGUGAUAAGUUGGAAAUCAUCACACUUUAGCCUUUAAUGAUUAUGACAUAAUCAUCUAUGUGAGAGAGACAUGGGGUCACUUAAAAGGGAAUUGAAUGGGCAAGUUCCUUAGAGCUCUUACAGAACCAGGCAAGUGUCCAUGACCAAAAUGGACACAUCAAUGAGAACCUAACUAGGUCAGGGAGAAUCAUGUGAGACAUGUAUUGAUUAUUUACAAAAAUGGCAGAACAGUUCAAGGACAUCGAGUCUACUGGUCCGCUAGUAAAAUAAAUAUGUAUCUUAAGGGAAGGUUCAAAGGGUUAAACCUACCAAUCAUGUGCAUGAUUCAACUGCUAGAUUUUACCUAAAGCAACUUGGAAUUGCGGAUGCUGAAACAAUUUUCAUUCAUGUGGGGGAUUGUUGGAAAUGUUAAGAGAAAAACUUUGAGACACACUUCAACAAAAUGUUAGAACAAGUAUAUAGCUCAACGUUAAUUUCGAAGGAUCUGUUAGCUCAACAAUAAUAUUAAGAUUUAGAAGUUAGUGAGUUAGAUGCGGAAAAGUAAAGAAAUGUAAAUGACAACAAUUGUUAUAUCAAGUAUACACAAGAGCAGAUUCAUAACACGGAAUGCAUUCAAACCAAGUUAGUAAGUGAGAUCUAGCUUAGUGAUUAAGUCACAAGUGACUUGCUCCGAAGAGAGAUGAUGAUUAAUUAUGAGAGUAAGAUGAUUUGAUAAGUAAGAUAGAAUGAGAACUUGAAUAUGUGUAUUAGAAUUUGAUAAGAGAUUCAUACCGGUACUGAUUAGAUGAGAAAUGAUCUCUAUUUAUAGAGACAAGUUUACAACUCUAAGAGUAGUCAUGCAAGGCAUACUAGACAUUAGAGUGUUUUACAGAAAAGACAAAAUAAACUAAGUAAAGAUAAACAUUGCGGUGCUGAAGACUUCGGAUGACAAGUUGAUGAUGAGAUUGCUUGACUGCGGUAGCUAAAGUUCAAGAGAGUCACUUUUUGAUUCAACAAUUUCCCCUAAGUGACCUCUUUAACUUUGAUCAGCUAUCAAGUUUAAGGAAGUUGAUCAGGAUCCACCAAAACUUCCUGACGUUCUAUAACCAGUUGAUUCUUCUCAGUAUUUCAAACUCGACCUCUGCAGUUGUGUGAUUGGAUUUUUCAACUGCGUUGCGGCAGAUCUCAAGUUGUUUUCUGGUGAGACAGUGCAUGGCAGUCAUAGGAAUGAAAUAUUUGACGUUCUCAGUCUUCCUCUUGAAAAUGACUCCCAGCUCAGGAUAAAUGGUUGCACCUAAGGAUCUUUCUUCAUAGCCUUUGGUAGGCAUCGGUGCGGGGUCAAGCGGUGGAAAGUCAGCAAUCUUGGAGAUGAUGCGAUGAAUGUCUGCAUCUAUUUUGGCAAAGUCACAGACUGUUUCCUUAAGAAAGGUGAUGGCCCUUUCAAGAGCGAUCUUCAUCUUCGGAUGCUUCUCAGACUUGUGCUGAAAAACUUUGGCGAUGAGAAACACUUCUUUCAGGGUUCAUACACGGAAAAUCAGCCUGGGUGCAGAUGUAGUCGUGCUCCUUCCUGGUCAGGGUGUACUGGAUGAACUCAGCCUUCAUGAACUUUCGGAUCUUGUAAUUCUUCACUGCGGAUGGUCUAUCGUUAGACCAUAAUUGUUCAACUGGAGAGGCAUGCGUAUCAUAGAAUUGGCUAAGUCUCUCUAACUCCAUACGAAGUCUUUUGUCGUCAGGAAGGCUGCGGUCGAACUGCUCAAAUACAGUGAAGUAUCUGGCAUUCGGUGAGAUUGGGACAUCCCAGUAGCCGUCUGAGGGGGGUUCCGCAUAGGUGAGAUGAGGUACAUAGUCAUCAUCAAGAAGUCUUCUAUGUGGAUUGAUCCAAGAAUUUAUCAAGGAUUCAUCCAUAACUGUGUCGAAUCCGCAUACUCUCCAUACUUCUUCGGCCAGCUUGGCUGCCAUCUAGUCUCUUUUUCUUUAAGCAGUGGCAGGAUAGUCGUUUGAGCUUGGAGGCGACAUAUACUCCUCCAUAUUCUUAAAGUGCGGGGGAGUUUAUGGUUUUUCAGGAGUAUUAUGGAGAGGGGAGUUGUGAUGAGAUGGUUACGGUAAGAGUUGUUUUUCAUGUUGCGGUGAUGGUUGCGGAGUGGGGAUUUUUCAGUAGAGUCUGGGGGAGUUUGAUGAUGUUAAAGAGAUUGGUCGGAGUGAUGGACUUCUUCACUUCCCCCUCUUGAGGAGUUCAGACUCGGAGCCUCCUCAAGCCAUUGACGAAGGCCAUCAACCUUGUCAAAUACGGUUUGAGAUUACGGACUCAUAAGCAGUAUUAGUUUUAGCAAUCAACUUCUCAGAAUGUGAGGCCUGAUCCGCAAUUGCUGCUUGAAGGUUGGUUUUGAUUGUGGUAACUUCAAAGAUGAGGCAUUCCACAGCAGCCAUAAACUCCUUAUGAUCAGCUUGACGAUUGUUUUCAAGUGAUCUAAUCCCUAUUUCAACCUUUAGAGAGAUGCACUCCGCAACCAUUCUCUCUCUUGUUUCCAAUCGUUCUAUUCUUUCUAUCAGGGACUGCGGUCCCGGGCUGUCUACUGGUUGCGGUUGGUUCGGCUUGACCGCAGCUAAGAUUUGAUCAACCUUAUCCUGAAGACUCAGAAAUUUUUUUCUUGUGACUGCGUGCUUCUUUUUCUUCUUCUUUUCCUUAGGCUUAGUAGUGGAGUGAUGAGAACCACUGUGACAAUAGUCAAAUUCAGGUCAAGUCUAAGCCGAACAAAGUCAACAAGUCAAACCGGCAACUCAAUUAAACCUUGUAUAUUAGGGUUUGUGUUAUGUAAUUACUGUAUAACUCACUAUCUCAAUGAGAAAACAUCACUUGAAAAAAAAAUUGUGUGUUUAAUUUUUCUUAACCUUAGUACUAAACAAUGAACAAGAACAAUAAAACAAUGUUGCAUACUCAUCGAGAGUGUGCAAGAUCCUAAAACAUGGCUUAACGGGGUUCACGGACCUUGCGUUGAGGAGCCAAACACUCACUAUUGUUACACAUGAAACCACUCUCAGUCGUUUUCACUCUAUCUCUCUCUAUUGUCCAAAUCUCUCCAAGAAUGUCAAAUCUCUCCCAAAUCUCUCUAAGUAUGUGAAAUCUCUCCCAAAUAUCUCUUUGUAUGAGAAAUCUCUCCAAGAAUGCCAGAUCUCUCCCAAAUCUCUCUAAGUAUGUGAAAUCUCUCCAAAAUAUCUCUUUGUAUGAGAAAUCUCUCCAAGAAUGUCAAAUCUCUCCCAAAUCUCUCUAAGUAUGUGGAAUCUCUCUCAAAUCUCUCUCAAAAUCUUUCUCAACUUUCUAUAAUCACUCGGGGCAUCCCGACCCUCGAAUUUGGCGAAAACGGCCCAAAAACGGAAGUCUACGCGAAAAACAGACUUGAGGAACCGAAACCCCUCUUAGGACCCGAAAGUCCUCUUAGGAACUGAAACCCCUCUUAGGACCCGAAAGUCCUCUUAAGGGACCGAACCCUUCUGAGCCGAAGGCUGCUCAACAGAACCCGAAAGGUCCUCUCGGGCCCGAACCUCGCCUACACACCCGAACCUGAANCUGUUUAUUCGGUACAUUUCGGGUCUGAUCACCUUCGCUUCUAAGACCGAGCCUUCGCUUCUGAGACUAGGACCGAGCCUUCGCCUUCGCUUCUCGCUUCUGGUUCGCCCCAUAUCACCUCCGGCUCGGUAUCAUUAGGGACCGAACCUCAGCCUAGGACCGAGAGGUCUCGCUGGAAGUCCUUUUUCUCCCGGUUUUCGACUAAUUUCGCGUUUUAGGCCCGUUUUUAAUUGUUUUAACACGGGGUUUUCACCCAAAACUUUAUUUUAACAUAUAAGACCCCUUAAUUAAUGAUUAAUCACGUUUUAAGGAUAAAACCUUAUCCAAAAGAGAGUAGGUGAAGUACAAAGGUAGAGUGUUGACUUUCCUUUAUUUUAUGACACAAGCAACCCCAUACCCACUCCAUGCCUAACCCACACUCCUCCCCACCAUACCUUGUCACUUCCUUGUACUUUUUACCUCUCUCAAAAGCCAUCCCCAUGUUUUUAGGGCUGGUCACUCAACCUCUCUCCUUAUUUCUUUCAAUUACUCUCAUUUCACCAAAGAUCCAACUCCAACUUUUCCCUCAAACUUUUCUCUCUAAUUUGAGAUCCCAAGGCUAAUCAUCAAGUGCUCUUCCACUCUUGGUAAGUAUAAUUCAUCCUCCUUGUGAUUAUUCCUCUUCAUUCUACUCAAAUCACUGAUUGCUUACACAAACUCCAUAACUAUGAUGCUAGAUUCUCAAAAAUCUUAAAGGCAUCUCCAAGUGUUCUUGAGUUAAACACUUCCAUUCUUCAACAAUCAUCUACUGAAAUCACUUAAGGUGAGUUCAUACCCCUACAUUUUCAUGUUUUCUCAAGUUUUUAGGGGGGGAAUACAAGUUAAAACACCAAGAACAUAACUAAACUUUUCUAACAGCCUUCAUCAGAAAAGUUCAACUCCAUUCACGGACUGUUUUGGACAACUUAAACAUUUUUGUUUACAAAACUGUUUUAGGUGUAAGUAGUUCCAGUUCUUAUCUUUAAAAUGACUACUUGCACAUCUCCAUACGAUUUUUCUACAAUUUAUGGUGAUUUUUACAAAACUGCCUAUCAUUUCAAACACCAAUCCGGACCAGUCUGUGAUUCUGGGAUAUUUCACCCAAGAUGGAGGUCAUUAAAAAUCAAGAUAAAAAUUAUGAGUAAACUAGACAUAUUUUGGGAACUCUCAGAAUUUACGGAUUUAGUUUUCGAUUUCGUAUGAUUUUUCUAUGACUUUUCUAAAACAGCGCAGAAAGGUUAAAGAUAGUUAACAACAUAUAAACUUCAUAACACUUUGUAUUAUGUUGAGCAAAGUGUAUAACAAUAAGUUCUAAAUAUUGAAUGUGUUUCCUUGUUAGUUUAUCAUCAUAAACUGAAGCUCAAUCAUUUAUGAUAACAUUAUUCAUUCAUUUAGAACACGAAUAUUAAGCCAUAAUAAGCAUGAUUUAUGGAUUAUAACACUAAUGCAUUUUCAUAUAAGAGUUUUUAUACAUUACAAACGUUUUGGAUAAACUAUAAUAGGUAUAGUUUAUGAUUCAUCACAUAACACACUCGUACAAAAAGGGUACAUUCAUACAAAAAGGUUCUACACUUACGCACACUACACGUAAACUUGUUAACUCAGAUUGUGAGACUUUCUCUCCCUGUACGUCCGAGUGCGGGAUCCAAAUUCCUGUAAGUUAUAACCAAAAUCUCUUGUAGGGAGAGCGUGAUAAUUGUGUAUAGAUCUAUAUUGGGGUUGACAUCCCACACCUCGCUGCUAGCUACAGCCGGACCGGCAGGUCUGCGGGUGACAAGAGUCAUAGGAUCAGGGCGUCUAAAAGGACGUUGUGUAGGUUACCUCUAAUCAUAGUAUGGUUAUAGCGACUCACAUAGGAAGCUAAUAAUACAUAAAGUUUACGGGAUUUUUAUAGAGCAAAAAGGGGUUCUAUGUCGAUUUAAAAUCACUUUUAUCUCAAUAAGUACAGAUAUUACCGUAUGCUUUUGGUUUUUGGUAUCUAUGACUACACACAUUUGAAAACCACUUUUAUACCUUAAGUAUGGAAAAUACUUGUUCAUUUUUAGUCCUGGGAUUUAGGACCACGUAACUUUUGUAAAGAAAAUAUUGGAUUUUCUGGAUACAUACUCUAAUGCUUUUACAAGGGAAAAGGGUUUACUUCCCUAAAUCUCUUAUGAACUCACCAACCUUUGUGUUGACACUUUUCAAAACAACUUCUAUUCUCAGGAAAUCACUAAACAGGAAAUCAAGAGCAUUUUGAGGAUGGGACGUUAAGGCGUCAAACAUUUCAUAUUUUGUCAACAUAUUGUAAUUGAUUUUGAAACAUGUAAUUCAUACAAUGAUGUAACUUUUUCAAUUAUAUAUAUGUUGGUUGUGUUUGCUUNCAUUUGUUGUUAUGAUAUUAUACAUGAAGUCCUCCACCCCCGGACGUUUCUGCCAUCCUUGGUUUAGGGGUGUGACAACCACUGUAUUCCUCAUCUUCAUCAAACAUUAUUAAGUCGUCAUCUGAAGAAGAGGGUUUGUUUACCUCUUGUGGUUCAUCAUCAUCGAAGCCAAAAAUAGGAGCAGAGCUCACUUCGAUUUCCGGUUCUUCAUCUUGUGAACCUGCAGCAGUGGGAGACGUGGGAGCUUGAUGGACAUGUUGAUCAGCAACGGUUUACUGAGCUUGUUGAACUUGGUCUACCAUUGCGUACAUCCAUUCUUGAACCUUCAGGAUAGUGCCUACGAUAUUGGCAUUGUUGAUGGCAUCUGCCCAAUACUUUGCCACGACUUGAAUCUCUUGUUCCUUGAGCUGUUGUUGCUUCAUCUGCUGAUCCUUGCGAGCUUGAAAUGCCCUACGAAAAGCGACAUAUUUCUUGGCUUCAGCCUUGUUAGAUGGUUCAUAUCUGCUCCAAGAAUCAUUAGAGUCUUCUCUGUUAAUUCUAGUAAAUCACACCAAGGUGUCCCUUAGGUUCACAGAUCCUUGCACAUUUGUGCUCACCGUGCCUAAACCACCUGAUUUUAAUGUAAGCAGAGUAGGAUUCCUGAGCUUCCUAGGUCUCCUUGACCCGUGGUCAAGUUUGGCCUCGGCUUAGUUCUGGAAAAGGCGGAAGAAGUGCCCUGCGGAUGGGACUGUGUUUGGAGUGUAUGGGUGACAUUCAACAGGAUGGAGUUCAACUCCUCGGAUGAAAAAAUAUGCAGUCAGGAAGCCCUGGAGACUUUAGAGUGAGAACCAGUAUUAUCCCUUUGGGAAUGUACUAGUGGGGAGUCUCCUCUCUGUUGUGAUUCAGACUCACUUUCUGAGUCUGAAAGGAAAAAGAUGGUGUUAUCAAAUGGAUGUGCAGGCAUCCCAAGGACUAUUGGAGCCUAUUGAGAGGCUUAGGUAUCGGUCCGGUCAUGCAUUUGGCUAGUGGGAUCAGCUUUUCGUUUCUUGAGGAUAGAGAUGGGUUGAUUAUCCUCUUCAGAAUCACUAUCGGAGUGAUGGUGACUCGGUUCAGCAGUUAUGAAAAUUGGUGGCCAUUUUCUCUUUUUUGAUGGUUUGGAUGGUUUGGGGGCACCCUUUUUGGGGGUGCUAGAUUUCUUUGUGGUGCGGGGACCAUGGAGAGAAGAAACCUUAUGUUUGCGUCUCUGAGAGACGUUAGAAAGAGUGGUAGAAGAAGGAACUGCGGUACCUUCAGGGUUUAAAGUUGCAGAUGGAAGAGGCGGGGUAGGAAGGUAUGGGUCAAUACCUUCUGUAGCCUCAAUGUGGUCUGAGAUAUCAGCAGUCUCGAGACCAAGUGAAGUAAGAAUAUGGGUAGGGAGUCUGUGGAUGGGACCAAAAAUAGUUUGAUCAGAGGAAGGUUUGUACCUUUUUAAGUCUUUGGUGACAAAGAAAUUGAUGUCGUCACCCAUGUCAAUCUUGGCAUCCGCAUGCAAGUCAGAUAUGCACAGUGACCAGAAUCGUGAAAAAGUAAGCUCCGAUGGGUUCUGCCUCGGGCUCUCCUUGGGAAUGUAUUGGAGAAAAUCGUCCCAAAGAAUCUGACCGUAGUUCACAUCGCGGCCCAUGAAUGUGCUCCAAACUAGUUGUAAAACCUUUAAUCCAAUGUUGUUUGUGCCUCCGGUUCUGCCGGACAUACUACGGAUGAUGAAGUGAUAGACAAACUGCCAGAUUGUUGGCAAUUGAUUCUUCUUGAACUCACCAAUGCCUUUUAUCUUCUUCUGAUAGCCCAUUUGAUACAGUGCAGUGGUGACAUCCGCCAUUGAUGGUGUGAAAAUCUUAACAGAUGGAUGAAUCAGAAGAUUGAUAGCUGAAAGGAACUUUUCUUUGGUCAGGAUGACCAAAGAAUCAUUAACAAGGUUUAGAUGGACUUCUUGAGGGUUAUCGACUGGGCGAUAUGCAUAAAAGGCACACUUGUAGAGAGUGGAUAAAGGAACAAUGUCUGUAAAUGCAUCAAAAGGUCCAAAAAGGGGAUGAUUCUUCAAGAAUUUGAUCAUCAGUUUGGUUGGUGCAUUGUAAGUUGGUUGAUCGUCGAACACCGCUCUGAAAUUGCUUGAGGCAGUCGUGGGAGAGUCUGAACCAGUUGGGUUCACUGAUCCAGAAGCUUUGGAUUGUUUCUUGGAAGCGCCAGAUUUCACCAUCGUUGAGUUGGUAAGAGGUUGAAGAAUGCAGAGAAGGAUUGAGGGUUAUGAGAGCGUAAAGGUUUCUUUAUGGAGAGAAAAAGGGUUUUAUAGUGAUUUGUAGGAGCGGGAAACGUUUAGGUUUUGACAUAGGUGAAAUUGGGUAAAAAAAUUGAGUUUAUCUUUGAAAAAGCAUCUUUAAUCUUAACCACCUAUUGAGAAAAAGGGAUAAAGAUUGAAAUUGGGAUUAACCAAAAAGAAACUCUGCAUUUAAUGAAAUGUCAAAUGUUAAAUCACGUCUUGAGAACGUGUGGAGGGGGUGAGAAAAAUCCAUUGGAUAAAGUAGAAGUUGUAACGGAUGAGAUCGUUUGGGUAAUAGGAAGAGACAUUUUAGAGGAUUUGAUUUGGAAAAUCUUUUAUUUUGUCAUCAUACCUAAAAUAGGUCUGACACAAGGUUUUGGGAGAGAAUAAUGUUACAUUUUCUCGAAGGAAUGUUUUUUAUUUAAUGUUUUAUUUAAUGAAGGAUCAUUAAAUAGAACAUUAUGUUUUUUUUGUUUUUCAAAAAGAAUGAACCAUUUGUAAAGCAAUUAAUCUGACUGCGGAUGAACACAUCAUUGCGGAUGACUUCUUUGGUAUUGCGGAUGACUGCAGUGAGAGAAACUGAGAAGAGCACUUGUCCAAAAGUUGGUAAUAACAAACAAGAAGGACCCAUGAAAGAUAGAUAUAAUAUAUGGUUGCGGUACAUUGACUGCGGUACACAGAAUGUUCCAAAACAAUCUAAAGGACUUGGGAACAGCAGCUGGUUACGGCCACGUAUUCUGCUUCUGCGGUAGAUAAUGAAACACAACUUUGUUUUCUUGAGGACCAGCUGACAAGUCUACCUCCUAAAAAUUGACAUCCACCAGAUGUACUUUUUCGAUCAAGUUUGCAUCCGGCAUGAUCCGCAUCAAUAAACACUUGAAGACUGAAGUCAUUGCCUACGGGGUACCAUAGAGCAAGAGAUUUGCUUCCUUUUAGGUACCGGAGAAUUUGUUUGGCUGCGGUCAUGUGUGACACUUUUGGGUUAGCCUGAUACCUUGCACACACACACCAGUUGCAAAGACGAUGUCCGGUCGGCUUGCGGUGAGAUACAUUAAAGAGCCAAUGAUACCUCUAUAAGUCUUGUGAUCUAUUGAUUCGCUAGAAGGAUCAGCAGAGAUCUUAUAUCCGAAGGCCAAUGGAACCUUAGCCGAGGAACAGUUGUCCAUAGAGUAUUUCUUCAGAAGUUCAGUGGUGUAUUUCUUUUGAUGAAUAAAUAUCCCUUGCUGAAUUUGUUUGACUUGAAGACCUAGAAAUAAGUUAAUCUCUCUAUUCAUGCUCAUUUGAAAUUUUUUUGUCAUGAGCUUAGCAAAUUCAUCCACCAUUCCUUGAUCCGACGAUCCGAAGAUGAUAUCGUACACAUAUAUUUGUACAAGCAUAAGGUGGGAACCGUUUGCUUUUCUAAAUAGUGUGGGAUCAAUUACUCCUCUUUUGUAGCCUGAAGAGAUUAGGAAUUCAGAAAGAGUCUCAUACCAAGCUUUAGGGGCUUGCUUCAGACCGUAGACUACCUUUCGAAGCUUGUAGCAGUGAUUUGGGAACUCGAUACUUUCAAAGUCGGGAGGUUGUUGAAGAUAAACCUCUUCUUUCAAUUCCCCAUUGAGAAAAGAGCUCUUAACGUCCAUUUGGUGUACUUUGAUUUUUUUAUGGGAAGCAUAUGCUAAGAAGAUUCGGAUUGCUUCCAUUCUAGCCACCGGAGCAUAUGUUUCAUCGUAGUCAACGCCUUCUAGUUGACUAUAGUCUUUAGCAACUAGUCUUGCCUUAUUUAUGAUGACCGCACCAGAUUCAUCUAGUUUGUUCUUGAACACCCAUCUUGUACCAACAAUAGUAUGACCUUGUGGAAUGGGAACAAGUUCCCACACUUUUUUUCUUUCAAAUUCUUCCAGUUCUUCUUGCAUCGCAGAGAUCCAAUCUGGUUCCAAUAAUGCUUCAUUGAUAGAUCGAGGCUCGACUGCUGACAUAAAUGUUGUAUAGUGACAAUGGUCAGAUAAAUCCUUGGCAGAUCGAUUUUGGAUACCUGCAGAUGGGUUGCCAAUAAUUUGACCUGGUGGGUGAUCUUUCGUCCAUACAUGUAGACGAGGCAAGAAAUGAGCAGCAGCUGCAGUAGAAGGAAUGUCUUCAAUAUCAGAGGUUGCUUCGGAUGGGGAAGUAAGUUCCCCCUAGAUUUGUGAACAGCCUGCGGAAUCAUCUAGACUUGUUGGAGCGAGAAUGACAUUUUCUUGAGUAGUUUGGAGAGGUUCCCCUGGAUUGCUGAAGGGAGUUCCUCUGGAACCUGAAAAGGUUCCCGCUGGACUGCUGAUGGGAGAGAAAUGAUCCUUGAGUCAGUUCGAGUGUCAAUAUUCUCUAUGAUUUCAUCAUCCGAAUCCGAAGAUAUGUUUGAAGGAAGUGAUUUUCUGAGAAUGGGAGCUUGAGCAACAUCCAGUACUGGAACCUCGAUGGUUGUAGUAUGAACCGGAGUAGAGCUUUCCCCCUUAACUGGAGAGGUGAAAGUAUUGAGAGAUGCUACUUCGGAUAGAGAUGGACCAGAAACAUCAGCAUGUUGUUGUUGAGCAGUUGGUGAUACAAGAACCUCAUAUAGUUUUGCCAUUUCAACAGGGUCGAAAAGAUCAUCGUAAUUUACUUCAACCAGCUUUAGAGGACCUGACGAAUCAGGAAUGUUGCUUUCCAUGAUGGUAGUGGUUUCAAUAGAUGGAGGGGUGUUGCGGAUGUAAGAGUCAUCGAACUUCACAUCAAAACUUUCAAUGAUUAGCCUUGUACGUUUGAUGAGAACCCGAUACACAGCCUUAUUUGUGGAGUAACCGAGAAAGAUGCCUUCAUCAGACUUCGGUGUAAAUUUGUUAAGCUGAUCUCUGUUGUUUAUCACAAAACAUCUACACCCAAAGAUGUGAAAGAAAAAAACAUUUGGCUUUCGGUUGUUGAGACCCUCAUAUGGUGUCUUGUUGAGGCGUUUGCACACAAUGAUUCGGUUCUGAACGAAGCAUACGGUUGCUAUAGCUUCAGCGCAGAAGUAAAGUGGAAGAUUUGCGAAGUUGAGCAUGGAUCUGGCUGCUUCAACAAGGGUGUGGUUCCUUCGCUCUACUACACCAUUUUGUUGAGGUGUAUACGGAGCUGAAAAGUUAUGAGAGAUACCUUUUGACACCAAGAAGUUGUUGAGAGGAUGAUUGGUGAAUUCAGUGCCAUUGUCACUGCAGAUGUGUCUUACAGGAAGCUUGAUCUGGAGUUCAAUUUCUUUAAUAAAAUUUAUUAGAAUCUGCGGUGUUACGGAUUUGAGUCUGAGAAAGAAUACCAAAGUGAAGCGAGUGAAGUCAUCAACUAUAAUCAGUAUAUAUUUUUUAUGAUGGAGACUGGCUACGGUUGAUGGACCGCAGAGAUCAAUGUGGAGAAGUUCAAGUGGUUCGGAUAUAGAGGAGUCAAUCACCAUAGGGUGACUUGCUUUUGACUGGUUACCACAUUCACAAGAAGGACAUAGAGUAUCAUUACUGAACUUGAGAAUGGGUAGACCUCUGACCAAUUCUUCGGUGACUAAGGAGUUGAUGUAUUUGAAGUUGAGAUGAGCAAGCUUGUGGUGCCAUAACCAGCUAACUUCGGAUACGACUUUUGAGAGAAAGCACAGCUGCAGUUUACCAAUGAUGAGAGAAACAUCUAGAGGAUGCAUUGUGCCUUCAGAUCGUGACCUGAUUAAGCAAGUACUUCCAUCACUCGUCAUGAUGUAACAGAAUUGAUCAUCAAACUCCGCUUGAUGUCCUGCCUUACAGAGUUGGCCAACACUGAUGAGAUUGUGUUUAAGGCUUUCUACAUAGGCAACCUUCUGUAUUGAGAAGUUCCCCGUAGUGAGUAUACCGUAACCUCGAAUAAUGCCAUUCACAUUGUUGCCGAAUGUAACAUUUCCACCAUUGCAUAUAGGCCUGAAAUCCCGAAGGUAUUCUAACCUUCCGGUCAUGUGCAAGGAGCAGGCACUGUCGAUCAACCAUUCUUCUUCUUGAUCCUCCUUUCACAAAGCCUACAAAAAUUAAGUGGUUCAUUUGGGCACCCAAGCGAGUUUGGAGCCUGGAGUCACAUACGAUGUAUUAAUUGAUGCAUGAUGCGAGGUGGUAGGGACAAGUUUUAAGUCAACUUUCAAGCCUAGUCCUGGGUGUUUGAGAUUUUUUGGAGUUUUAUGAGAUUGUGGAUAGUUACGAGUCUUUUGAGAACGAUGAGAUUUGUCAUGAGAGAAGAUCUUUUGACACUGACAUUGACACGUGAAUUUUUUGUCAUUUCUCCUGACAUUUGACUUAGUCUGAGGUUUUGAAGAGAAAGUAUGCUUUUGUCCAGUCCGAGGAUUGUAAGAUUUGACCUUUUUGUUUGUGUGUUUUGAAAAGGUAUUUUUUUCAGGUCUAGCAGGUGUGUAGACACAUGCAAGCCUUUUGUGAGGUGAUUUCUUAAACUCUUGAGGUGGCCUUUUGAGUGCCGGAGUUGGAAAAUUUUCUUUCCAUUUUUGAGGUUUUGAAAGUGACAUCGGAAGGGUUGGAGUAGGUAGAAUACCUUUCCAUUUUGGAUUGUCUAAAGAAUAGACCUGAAAACCAUUUGAUCGAAAAAACUUAUCCUUAGAGUCAGAUAUUUUUUAGUAGUGUCAGAAACAGCGAACUCCUUCCUUUUUGUUUUCUUGGAAACAGUUUUCUUGAAGUGAUAAUUUGAGAAAACAAGUUAUUAUGGGCUCUUUGAUUUGGGACAUUUCACAAGUUUCUUUUGUUUUGAAUGAAUUUCCAGUUGCUUCCACGGGAACGAAAUUCUUCUUUAAAAGCUCUUUUUGCCUCGAUCAUAGGAGAACCACAGUCAGUGACAUUUAAUUGCGGUUUCCUUAAAUCUUUUGAAGAUUUUGAAAAACAAGGACUUGAUUCGUCUGAACUGGAGAAGUUAGGACUUUGAGAACAUUGAGCAAAUUCAAAAUUUUCGAUUGGUAAUUCAUGAUUAAUUGGUUCAAUAGUCAUAGAACUUUUGACUAUGGUCUGCGGUGUAGUGCUUUGGACUACCGCAGAGUAAGUCUUGGUAGACACUUCAGUGGGAUAUUUGAUACUGGGUAAUGGGACGGAUUGCAGUUCAUGAUUGCGGUUAGGAACACUGCGGUCAGACUGCAGAGAUUGAAAGUCUAAUGAGACGUCAGGACUUUCUACAACAAUUUCUUCAUCGGCUACGGAUGAUGUCUGUGAAUCAGACUGAACUAUGUUAUCAACAUGAUUAGAAAAUUCAGGGAUAAAUUCCUCGAUAACAUAGUUAUUACUCAAAUCAUGGAGUUUACCAAAAUGAGCUUGGAUAUCCUCAGGAAAUGUUUUGUCAUUGACUGGGAAUAAGAAGUUGUGGUCUAGAGGGACAUAGCGACGUUCAGGUGUGAACCGAGGUGAAGAGUCUGUUACGGUUGGGUAUCCAUUGGACCAACCCCAAUUAAAGGUGUUAUCAACAUUCCCAUUAUUAACAAGAUUCGCAAUGGCCUCAGUUUCAUUAAAAAGCUUUUAAAUUAAAAGAUUUAAGCGUACAAUUUUACUCUGUGCUAAAUCUCUCUAAUUUAAAGCUAUUUCUAGUUGUGUUUCACUUAAGAUCCUAGCAUCUUUUUCUAGCAUCAAGUCCUUCUCUAACAUGCCAUUUUGAGUCUCUUAUUGUCCAAAUGUCCUCUAACAUGGAACAUCUCCUACGAAGCGAUGUUCUUCUCAUCUAAGGCUUUAUUGUAGUCUGUAAGGACGGCAGCACAUGUGUCAUUGAGUGUGUCUAUGAAAGGUUGACAAUCAUGCAUGUUGUGAUUUAAAGUUUGAAUCAUAAGUUUUACUUGUUCCACAAUGCUGAGAGUUCCAUCUUUUGCAAUAUAGCAAUGGUUCUUCUUUAGAUUAGUUGAGCCGUAUUCAUCAGUAGUUGCUACCAUACAGAUUUUGUCUUUUGUCACAACUAGGAAAUUCGAUGCCUUGUAAACAUGGAACAAUGAUAACAAAUGUAAACCAACAAUGUGAAAUCAUGUAAGAUCCUUAUUCAAUAACAACAAACUUCAAUCAAAAACUUCAUACAAGCUCUACAAAUAGUCAACAAAGAAUUGGAAACCCUAGAAAUCCUGGUUUAAGUCCAUUCUGGACUAGGAUUUCCUUAUUGGACCCAAUGGGCCAAUAAGCUUCCAAUUUGACUAUCUUGGGCUUAGAACUCUUAAAUGGGCUCUAAUUGGACCCACUUCUAUUUAUUUUAAUAUUUUGGGCCAUAUUAGGCCUAGAAUGAAAUAAAAUACUUUAAUGGACCUCGUUGGGCCAUAACUAAACUAAUUAGCCCUAAUGAGCCAUAAAAAUCAUUUCUUGAAUUUUUUUGGGCCAAGAAUCAUCUAAUUAAGCCAUAAUAUGGAUUAAACACCAAAGGCCCAAAAAUUUCUCUCAUCAAGGUCUCUCUCUUCCCCUCCCUUCUUCUCUCGGCCGAACACACACACACACACACUCACAAAAUUUAUCUUCAUUCUCUCAAACUUUCACUAGAACAUCCUUACACUCUCCCUUAAAAAUUUCGAGAAUCACAAGGGCUACAAGGAAAUCUCUUCUUAAUAUCACAAAUCUAAGGUAAUUUGAUGUUUGAUCCAUAAUUUAACACGCUUCUUUUCAUCAAAAAUCAUCUCUUAAUCCAUUCAAAUUCAUGAUCUUGCAUCUUAGAACACACUAAGUUCGAGAUCCAUCCAAGAAACUUGCUAGGGCCGAAAAUAGCACCAAACUUAUCCCAAUCUUCUUUAAAACCGAAACCACAACUCAAGGUGAGCUUCAUACCCCUUUCUUUUCUGGUUUCAUGAGUUUUAUGGGGGAGAAUACAAGAAAAUGUGUAGAUCUAUGUGUAUGUGUAUGCUAUGUGCGAUUUUAUGCAUAUAUGUGUGUGAUUUCAUAUGUUUUUGUGAUGAAUAUGUUAACAAAAGGUGUGUAAACCCGAGAUCUAUGACAUAAGUAAGGAAACAAACAUAAUCUAAGCUAUUUUACACCAAACCAGUCAAGAAUGAUAACUUAAAAGGUUAUGAUAAACAUAUUCUAACAUAAAACCCAUUUUAGGGCUUAAAUUGUCAAAAAUACAAAACUUGGGUUACAAAUCGAUAAGUCACGGUUUCUGGAGGGCAAAAAGGGUCAAAACAGUUUCUAUAAUCAUUUUUCUGAAUGAUAGAAUUUUCAUGGGACUUAAAAUGUAAAUUUUUAGCUUAAUGGGCUAAUUUUGGGCUUUUCGACCCAAUAAGCCUCAAAAUGCGAAAAUGAGAAAUUUAAUGGGCUGAAAUAAAACUUUCGGUAAAACAGGGGGUAAUUAGCAUAAAAAAAUAUUUUAAGGGUCAAAAAUGUUUUUCACUGUCAAAAAGGAACAAAAAUGCAAAGUUUUUAGAUUUUGGACCAAAACUGUAAAAGUUGAGAAAAAUGGGGUUCUAACCGAGAAACACCAUUCUAGGAGGGCUGAAGCUUCCAACAAAAUAAAUUUCGGGUUAGAACUGUCUUUUCAACAAGUUUAUGAUACAAAAGUGUCAAGAAAAUGUUUUAAGGAACUAAAAAUGAAAUUCUUUUAUCUAAAAGGACCAAAAGUGUUACUUUUAUAAAAGAAGGGUAGUGAAAAGGUCAAAUUCCACUUUUAAACAAAUUAAUUCAUUAAUACAAAAUACAAGAUCCACAACUACCAACGAAACGGAAAACAAAUACACUUUCAACAUCAAAUAUAUAUAUCGGAUUUUUUGGGCUUUACAAACUACACCAAAUCAUUUUAUCACAACAUUUCUUAUGAACUCACCAACAUCUAAUAUGUUGACAUUUUUCAAAUUAACUUGUAUUCUCAGGUAACAGGUAAACCGAAGAAUAAGUACCAAGUAAUGUAUGGGUGUUUUGCUUAUGAUAUCUAUCAGAUAAUCUAUGUUAUGAAUUUGAAAUGUUCAAAACAAUGUACUGGAUGUAAACAAUAUCAGUUGUAUUAUUUUAAUGCAUGGUGAUGAUUUAUGUUAAGAUUCAUGUAUAUUCAUUGUGAUGGUAUUCAAUUUAAGUCACAAGAUCCCUCGAACGUUCCGCCGUCUGGUUCGGGGGUGUGACACCUUUUCCUCUACUGAGAUCAUCUUCAUCUUCAUCUCCUGAUGACCACACUUGAUGAUUCCUUUUCACUUAAGCAACGUAGGCUUUUCCCUUUUUUUGUCUUCCAGUUCUUGAGCCAUUCUGAGAUAGAAGGCUCUAUCUUUCACUAUGUUUACCUUGCAAUCCUUGGCAAAAUGGUUGUCUUUGUUGCACUUGUGACAUAUAACAAUGUCACUUUUGUCUUCUAAAGAGGUACCGGAGUCAGUUGAUUGAAACUGCGGUGGUACGUCUUUAGACUGUGUUUGCUGAGGCUGCGGUGGGGGGAGAAGAUUCUUGGUGGAACGAAAGUGAUUNGGUGGAGGGAGAAGAUUCUUGGUGGAACGAAAGUGAUUGUUUUGAAAGUUGCGGUUGAAGGGUGGUCGAUUGUAUUGUUGGUUUUUGCGAAAUGAAGGUGGUAAGCGAUUGAAUUUGUGACUGAUAAGGGCGAUGGCAUUCUGAAACUCUUCUUCAUCGUCAUAUUCUGAUUCAGCUUCAUAUGACUGCGGUGGUAAGUCAUACGAAGUGGGAUAGGUUUGAGUGUGAGGUGAUUGUGCUACUAGUGCAAGUGGACCUCCGAAGUCUGAGCAGUCCUUGAGUAUGGUGGACUCUUGAACUUGUAACUCUCCAUAGAGCUUAUAGAGGGAUAACGAGUGAACCGUCUUGUCACCUUGUACAAUCAUUUUGGCUGUUGUCCAGUGUCUUCCCAAGCCAUUAAGGAACUGUAGGUUUGUUUCAUGAUUGUUGCAGAUCGUGCCCGCAUUGGACAAGUUUGUGACAAUCAAGUUGAAUCUCUUAAAAGAAUCUUCCAAACUUUCACCGGAGUGGGCUUUGAAGUUGUUGAAUUCAUUAAGUGAUGUAGUGAGCUUCUUGACUUAAGCCUGCUCUGAGCCUUCGUACAAGUUUUUGAGAACAUCCCAAAUCUCCUUUGCUGAUUUGCAGUUUAUGAUGAUGUCAAAGUUGUCAGGAGCAACUCCACAAGAGAUUUCAUAAAAGGCAAUAGCAUCAUUUUCCUUUUUGUAUAGAUCAUCUUUGGUGGGACGGUUCAAAGCUGGUUGUCCUCCUCCUAGCCUUGCUGUGGCUCCAUCAGUUUGGACUGGUGUAAGGACUGGAACAUGGGGUCCUUCUUCUAUGGAUCUCCAGACAUCUCUACCAAGUCGUCUGAGAUAUCUUUCCAUCCUUUGAGACCAGUGAUGAUACUCAUUCGCAACCAGUAUUGGGGCUUGAUUAGAACCACCAACACUGUUGGAGACAUUCAGUGAUAACGAUUGUGCCAUUUUGAAGAUUUUUUUGUUUUGUUUUUUUUAUUUUGAAAUGAGCUUCAGUGGUAUAGAAAGCUCUUCGAAAAAUCAGAGUUCCGAUUUUCAAAAAGCAACCACUAUGGAUCUGAUACCAAUUGUUGAGAGAAAAACUUUGAGACACACCUGAACAAAAUGUUAGAACAAGUAUAUAGCGGAAUAGUUAAUCUCGAAGGAUCUUUUAGCUCAAUAAUAAUAUUAAGAGUUAGAAGUUAGUGAGUUAGAUGCGGAAAAGUAAAGAAAUGUAAAUGACAACAAUUGUUAUAUCAAGUAUACACAAAAGCAGAUUCAUAACAAGGAAUGCAUUCAAACCAAGUUAGUAAGUGAGAUCUAGCUUAGUGAUUAAGUCACAAGUGACUUGCUCCGAAGAGAGAUGAUGAUUAAUUAUGAGAGUAAGAAGAUUUGAUAAGUAAGAUAGAAUGAGAACUUGAAGAUGUGUAUUAGAAUUUGAUAAGAGAUUCAUAUCGGUACUGAUUACAUGAGAAAUGAUCUCUAUUUAUAGAGACCAGUUUACAAUUACAUGAGAAAUGAUCUCUAUUUAUAGAGACAAGUUUACAAUUCUAAGAGUAGGCAUGCCAGGCAUACUGGACAUUAGAGUGUUUUACAGAAAAGACAAAAUAAACUAAGUAAAGAUAAACACUGCGGUGCUGAAGACUUCGGAUGACAAGCUGAUGAUGAGAUUGCUUGACUGCGGUGGCUUGUAGGCUGCGGUAGCUAAAGUUCAAGAAGGUCACUUUUUGAUUCAACAGGAAAAUUAAUUUCCAAAAAAAUGGAUUUUUUCCAAUUUUGAGCACGAAUUUUGGACUCUAAAUAUAAUCAUAACGAGUUAUUGAUUAUAUAUUCGUGUUUUCCUCCGUGAUAUCUACGUUUCGAUAUAUUACACGUCCAAAACGGAUUAAAAAUGAAUGAGAAAUAACUUGUCAAAGCAGGGCAAUUGGAAUAGAAAAUAAAAGAGUUGAGUGGGUUUAAAACUCAUCCCACAUUGGUGGGAGAAUGAAAAGGAAAUUGGUUUAUAACUACAAAGACUAGCUACCUUUGUAAGACUUAUUAGAACCAAGGCUCUCUCUUGUGCGCGCACGUAGGGGGGGAUGCAAAUUCAAGCCAAAUUGGCUUUGAGCCACUAAGCUUGUGUGUGAGCGCGCGUCCUGGCGGCACGAAUGCACCACUGGUUUACCAGAAAAGUUCAAGGACCUUUUUUGCAUUUUUUUUCGUUUGGUUAACAGUUACAAAAACGAAUUAAGAGUAAUUAAUCAUAGAUUUCGGUUUUGAUUUCUUGAUUAAUUUUCUUAUUUAAUUGUGACAGUUACGAUUUCGUUUUAAUUGCAUCAGUUACAUUAGGUAGUAUACAUACAAUGUAUAUGUGACUGAUUCCAGACAGCGGAUGAAACGAAAUCACUCUCUUCCUCUCUUACGCUUCCGCUUCAUCUUUUCUCUCUUGCUGCAGCCAAGGUAUAAUCCGGGUCAAGUGAGGGUUCGAGCAAUCUAGAAGAAUUGUUUUCUACUGUUGUAUCCUGGGAAACAAACACCAAUAUAGGGUGAAUUUGUUUUAAGGAAACUGUGUUAAACACAAGACUCAGUCAAGAAUUUUUUGCUUUUGUUCUUUGUACAAUUUUGGGUUAUAUUUUCCUAACAAUUAUUCACUCUUCAAUGUAAACACAUACAACUAUACAUACAUUACAUAUACAUAUAUUAUAACCACAUAUAAGAUCAAUCUGAAAAAACUGGAAGUAAAUUUUUCAUGAAAUCGAAUAGAACAUCUAGUGUAGCGAAACCAUAACGAUGUUGGUGUUGUGGUAGUGUUGUUGCGGAAUAAAUCCGACAACAGUGGUGACAACACGAGGAAAGUGGUCAACUAUGCUUAAUUCACAAAAUCAAACACUCAAACUCACUAGAUGGUCAUGGGGAGAAGAGAAAGUGAAAGGAGGGACAAAGAAGGACGGGCAUGUGGUCAUCGUCGGAAGUAGGGAUCGUCAUUGAUGAAACUUUUGUCAUUGGUGAUGUUGUGUUGUCGGUGAUGCAAGUCGUCGUCAUUAGUGAUAGGUUGUACCUUCUAAUCGACGUUGGUGAUGCACAAAUUGGUGGGAACUCAACAGACCAAAAAGAACGACAAAAGACAGGAAAAUGGAGAAGAUGGGGAUAUAUCUGCAAGAAGCAUUAGCGGCGACAGGGUUUAAAUGGCGAUCAUUUGGAGGGAAUUUAUACCGCACAAUUAUUUUCGAGUAUUAGCGGCACAAUUAUUAGUCACCGCCAUUGAUGUUGCUGCUGAUAGUAUGUGCGAUAUUUGUUUCGAAUCGUUAGAUCAGGGUGGAGAUCGACAUAUAUGACUAAACGUUAGCUUUUGACGCAGAUCGGAGUCCUUAACAUUUAGCUGCGACGUCCACUUUUAUGGGCGACAUGUUACGCGAAAGUUAGAUAACCCCGCUAAAGGUUGACGUUGCCACUUAUUUUUCUUGUAGUGGUGUUAGGAAUAGUAAGGUUUUUGAGUGAGAUUCGUUUUCUUGUAAUACUGUCGUCUUACAUUUAAUUGAGCUGAAACGUUAUUUUAUUGUUGGUUCCUAUAUUUUCUUCCACAAAUUUAUUCGUCGUUAUUUUUGUCUCAUAGGUCACUAAAUACUAAUAACUAUUAAAUUAAAUUAGAAACAACUAAUGUAACAAUAAUAAGCACAAAAUAUUAAUCUUAAAAUAAUUUAGUGGACUUAAACAACGUUAUGAAUGAAAGGGAUCAAUGGUGGACGAACCUCGGCAUAAAAAACUUUUAAAAAAUAUUCCACUAAAACUAAACCCAACGAAAAUGUAUAAAAACAUGAACUAUUCUUGUGGUUUGGUCUUUAUAAUAUUUAAUGCCCAAUUUUUUGUAAACUAUUAUUGAUUAAUACGAAGCUCAUAAGCCUAAAGCUCUUUUCUUUUGUUGGGAUGUUGGUAAUUUUAUUGGAAGGAGAGGCAGUGAAUGAUUGAACCAAUGCAAGACAUGCUUCUGUUAGUUGUUCUACAAUUUGCGAUGCAUACCCGUCAAACCUUGCAAUUCAAUGCUCACAAUCUUUCGUCACCAAAUGGAAACCAACAAAAAUAGAAAAUAGAAAAUAGAUCAUUCCUGUUCUUUUAUAUUUAUCAGUUUUUAUAUCAAAUUUUCAUCUUUUUCAUAUUAUUAUUCAAAACUCAAUUUUUUUACGUUAAUUAUAUUAUUGUAUACUUUUAUAACAUGUAGUUUUAACCACAUGAUAUGAUAUAUAAAUAAAAGACACAAGUUGAGUUGAAAAUCGUCUUUCCUAUUUAUCAUUUUAUCUUAACGACGGUUCAUAUAACCGACAUAUGAUUUAUAUCCUACAAAACAAAACAAAUAGUUUGUGUUUAUAUAUGAUUUCAAAAUAAAAAAAAUAAGGGAAAAUGACUUAAAAGUCCAACAAAGUUUCCAAACCAUUCAAAAAACCCCAAUCAAGUUUUGUUUGUUCAAAAAAACCCAACGAACUUAACAUUUUAUCUAAAAAGUCCAAUAAAGUUCCAAACCGUUCAGAAAAUCUCAAUUUUGUUUUGCUUAAGUUCAUUGGGUUUUUUUUGAACAGUCAAAACAUGAUUGGAGUUUUUUAAACGUUUUGGAAACUUCGUUGCCUAACAAGUCAUUUUUCCGAUACGGUAAUAAGCCACGUCAUAUGUUUCUCUUAUUUGAAUUUCAGGAAAGUAUAACUUAGUUGAGCUUUUUAGACAAAAUGUUAAGUUUGUUGGGUUUUUUUGAACAGACAAAACAUAAUUGGGGUUUUUUGAACGGUUUGGAAACUUAAUUGGGCUUUUAAGUCAUUUUCCCAAAAAAUAAUGCCAAAACGUAUUUAAAUCAUGAGGUUGGUUUGAUAGGCAAAUGCUAGUCACGUGCCCGCUUCCCAGUUGAAAAUUUGAGAUACGGGAGUUAUACAUGUGAUACCCAUCCACCAUUCUCCCACAUACCAAACCCAUCAUUCCUUCUAUAUAUCAUCCCUUCUAUAUAUUUUCAAGAUACAACCAUCACUUAACACAACAAUUCUAUUUUUCAAGUCAUAGAUCACUACCAUUUGUACCUUCACAAAAAAAAUGGUUAACGUUGAGGAGUUCAGAAAGGCGCAACGAGCUGAAGGUCCGGCAACAAUUAUGGCCAUAGGAACUGCCACCCCACCAAAUUGUGUCCUCCAAAGCACCUAUCCAGAUUACUAUUUUCGUAUAACAAAAAGCGAGCACAAGACAGAUCUUAAGGAGAAAUUUAGACGCAUGUGUAAGUUAUAUACAUGUCAUGUAGUACUACUUAAUGACGUAAUUCUAGUUCAAUAUUUUAUUGUUAAUUACAUUAAAUCUUUUUGGGUGAUGUUUUCAGGUGAUAAAUCAAUGAUAACAAAGCGAUACAUGUACUUGACUGAGGAGAUUCUGAAAGAGAAACCAAACAUUUGCGCUUACAUGGCACCAUCGUUAGACGAAAGACAAGAUAUCGUUGUCGUGGAAGUUCCAAAGCUAGGUAAAGAAGCUGCAAUUAGGGCAAUCAAGGAAUGGGGUCAACCCAAGUCAAAGAUCACCCACCUCGUGUUUUGUACCACUUCGGGGGUUGACAUGCCCGGAGCAGAUUACCAGCUUACAAAGCUCCUCGGUCUUCGUUCUUCAGUCAAACGCUUCAUGAUGUAUCAACAAGGGUGUUUUGCUGGUGGCACUGUUCUUCGUUUGGCCAAGGACUUAGCUGAGAACAACAAGGGUGCACGUGUAUUGGUUGUUUGCUCCGAGAUCACCGCAGUUACUUUCCGUGGACCUAAUGAGACUCAUCUUGAUAGCCUUGUAGGUCAAGCUUUGUUUGGCGAUGGUGCAGCAGCUAUUAUAGUAGGUUCUGACCCAUUGCCCGAUGUGGAAAAGCCACUUUUUGAGUUAAUUUCUGCUGCCCAAACUAUUCUUCCAGAUAGCGAAGGUGCAAUUGAUGGGCACCUUCGUGAGGUCGGGCUUACAUUUCAUCUCCUCAAAGAUGUUCCUGGACUUAUCUCAAAACACAUUGAAAAGAGCUUGGUAGAGGCCUUUAAACCGUUGGGAAUUGCUGAUUGGAACUCACUUUUUUGGAUCGCACAUCCAGGUGGC